Molecule: transfer RNA, 67 nt
Filed under: Beraea pullata
Lineage: Eukaryota; Metazoa; Arthropoda; Insecta; Trichoptera; Beraeidae
Description: tRNA-Phe
Source: RNAcentral
ACUUAGAUAACUUAAAAUUAUAGAGUAUUAUAUUGAAGAUAUAAAAGUGAUGUUAUAUCUCUGAGUA